UCGAACGAGAAAGUGGAGCAAUCCAUGAGUACAGUGGCGACCGGGUGAGUAACACGUGACUAACCUACCUCCGAGUGGGGAAUAACUCCGGGAAACCGGGGCUAAUACCGCAUAACAUCGCAAGAUCAAAGCAGCAAUGCGCUUGGAGAGGGGGUCGCGGCUGAUUAGCUAGUUGGCGGGGUAACGGCCCACCAAGGCGAAGAUCGGUAUCCGGCCUGAGAGGGCGCACGGACACACUGGAACUGAAACACGGUCCAGACUCCUACGGGAGGCAGCAGUGGGGAAUUUUGCGCAAUGGGGGAAACCCUGACGCAGCGACGCCGCGUGGAGGAUGAAGCCCUUUGGGGCGUAAACUCCUUUCGACCAAGACGAUAAUGACGGUACUGGUGGAAGAAGCACCGGCUAACUCUGUGCCAGCAGCCGCGGUAAUACAGAGGGUGCGAGCGUUGUUCGGAAUUAUUGGGCGUAAAGGGCGCGUAGGCGGUGCGGUAAGUCACCUGUGAAAUCUCCCGGCUUAACUGGGAGCCUGCAGGCGAAACUGCCGUGCUGGAGUAUGGGAGAGGUGCGUGGAAUUCCCGGUGUAGCGGUGAAAUGCGUAGAUAUCGGGAGGAACACCUGUGGCGAAAGCGGCGCACUGGACCAUAACUGACGCUGAGGCGCGAAAGCUAGGGGAGCAAACAGGAUUAGAUACCCUGGUAGUCCUAGCCCUAAACGAUGAUUGCUUGGUGUAGCAGGUACCCAAUCCUGCUGUGCCGCAGCUAACGCGAUAAGCAAUCCGCCUGGGGAGUACGGUCGCAA
RNAcentral lists this ribosomal RNA (798 nucleotides) under uncultured bacterium. Its description in RNAcentral is "bacterial SSU rRNA". It matches the Rfam family "Bacterial small subunit ribosomal RNA", at positions 62 to 891 of the family's 1533-position model. The record is from RNAcentral.